RNAcentral lists this long non-coding RNA (3032 nucleotides) under Homo sapiens (human). RNAcentral's name for it is "HSALNT0318761". The record is from RNAcentral. Lineage: Eukaryota; Metazoa; Chordata; Mammalia; Primates; Hominidae.
ACAACCCCUUGUCUUAACCCAGACACUCAUUUCUGUUUAUUACACGUCUUUAGAUAAUAACUUAACUCUUUCAACUAAUUGGCAGUCAGAAAACUUUUGAAUCCACAUGUGACCUGUAAGCCCCCACUGGAGUUGACCCACCUUUCUGAACUGAACCAAUGUAUACCUUACAUGUAGUGAUUGAGGUCUUAUGUCUCCUUGAAACAUAUAAAACCAAGCUGUACCACAACCACCCCGGGCACAGGUUCUCAGGACCUCCUGGGGCUGUGUCAUUGGUCAUGGUCUCCACAUCUGGCUCAGAACAAAUCUCUUCAAAUAUUUUAUAGAGUUUGGCUUUUUCAUCAACAGCCCCACACUAUCACAUGGAUUCUUCUUCUUUUCUUCUGUCCAGCCAGAAGAUACCCAGCCACUCAAUGUGGUAGACCAACAUUUCCUCAUCCAGGUCUUAAUGUCCCCUAGGAAGACCUCUGGAAGGGUCUCCUGCCCCAUCCAGAUUAGGUACCCUCUUUUGGCUCCAAAGAAAACUCUCUACCUCCAACAUAUGCUAACAUUACACAAUUUUGUAAUAACCUGUUUACCUAUCUGUACUGCCAACUACAACAUAAGCCAGAAGAACCAAAAAACCAUGCUUAGUGCACUGUUAUGCUCCCAUUAGCCAGCACAGAACUAGUCACAUAGUAGACACUCAGUAAAUAUUUACCAAAUGAAUGUAUCUCAUCCAACUCCAUUUUCUAGUUGAAGUAAUGGUUUAGAGAUGAUAAGCCCCUUAUCCAUGACUACAUCAAAAAUAGUAGUUAAGCUGGGUUAGAACUCGCAACUCCUGCCUGUAAAUGUGGGCUCUUCUCCACUUUGCUACUCCUCUUUGUGCUGGAAGGUUAAGAAUAUCCAGAUGUGAUGAGGUUUAUUUUUUAGAGGUAGGUGAGUGUGUGUGUGUGUGUGUAUGUGUGUGUGUGUGUGUUUAUGCUCAGCCCUUUUGUAUUAAAAAAGAGAGGCACACUCAGGUUCCUGCAAGUAAUAGGAUUUUUGGGGGGAGUUUCCUUGUUUUCUUUUUAGACACACACGUUAAGGAUGAUAGAAAGCUCAUGUGACAAGAAUUGCCAUCUAGCCAGGCCCGAAGGAAACCUGACCAGGAACUAGGUUUUCUCCUUGUUCCUGAGCAGCAAAAUGUCACCAGUUCCCUGCCAUCCUGAGGACUCAGCUCUGCCCUAUUGCUUCUGUUCUUGUUGCUGCUAUCUACCAGUGACCCACCUUCUGUGCAUGCCUUCCUGAUGGCUACUGCUUAACAGGAAGAUGAGCUUGCACAUGCCUUCUCUUUGCAAAUUUUUAUCAUCUCUUAUUGCUACCCAACUGAUUUUCUCUUCUAUAUUUUCUAAUCCUAAUUUCUGACGACGCUACUCUGGUUGGCUCCUUUGGCUACAUUCUUUUCUGUUUGGGUAUGGUUUUUUUUUUUUUUAUGUCUGGCCACUCCAUAGGUUAGCCCAAGGGCUGGCUGCUUUUGCAGACAAUUAGCUAUGAUGUGGGAGGACAAAGGCAGGUCAUGUGGAAUAUAACAUGUUUUUUCCAUGGAGAUUGUAGGGGAGGCAUUUUUUUCUUUCCUUGUGAUUGAGAGUGAGGCAGAUAACAUCAUUGACCUGUCCAAUACAGCAAAAAACAAAAAAACACCUCAAACCACAGUUUUUGGAUAACAGUCCAAUGCAUUCUCUCAUGGCAAGGUAUAGUAGUAUCUUUAAAAGGCUCAAAUACUUUCAUUCCGAGCAUGUGUGGGUCCCAAUUUUCUUUUUCAGGUUAAGGGGCUGGGGAAAAACCAUGCUAGGGGUGGUGUAAAGAAAAUGGAAAGUAAAAUAACUCAGAUUGUAACAUUAUUUGACUUAGACAAUAACAAGAGAAUUUAAAUGGAGCUAGAUCUCAAAGUGAUUUCUAUGAAAACAGACAACUAAGUUUUAUUUUUCUUUCUUUUUUAAAAAAGAUUUUAAUCUAAUCUGAUAGAGUAGGAGAAAAUAACUCAAUGUUCUGAAAAUAAAUUUCCCAGAGGAGGCCAUUAAGGCAGCCCUUUUGUUUCCUGUCAUACUCUGAAUCAGCUACAAGGACAAACUCUAUUUGUUUGAGUACAUUAAUUUUGCUCAAUGGCCUUUCUAUAAAAUGAGCAUCAAAUUGAUGGGACUGGACCUCAGUAAAGAAGAAGUUCCAAUUUUCUCUGGAUGGAUUGUUCUGGAUGUGCAGUGGAAAAUUAUUAUUAACAGCAAUUCAUGUUUACUAUCCAGUGAGAACAAGAGAAAGAUGGAGUUUAGAAACACAGCUGUAUCUGACUAAGCACUGAGCACCAUAGGACAAAUUACUAGGGAAUGAUGAGCUGAUCUUUGUCUUCUGUGUGGCUAGUCUACUUGGGCCAUAUAUGGUAUGCUGGACCACAGAUUUUCUCUGACUGUGUCUUGGUUCAGUAAUUUCAGGGAAGCAAGAUAGGUUUUUAAUAUGAUCUAGUCAUUUGGGUUGUCUUGUUGCAGGUACCAUAUGGUGCUGAUGUGUCGGAUGCCUCCAUGUGUUGAUUUCAAUCAUUCAACUGGACACAUGGUGAGAGGCUGAACAGACAUGCUUCCUUCCCUCAUGGAGUUUAUAUUGCAAUUGAAUCUGGUUCCGAGACCUUCUGAUUCUGAUUCAGCCUUCUAAGUUCAAACCAAAGCAGAGCAUUUUCAACUUCUUUAAUGAGAAGCAUGUUCAGCCAGCAAAGAAGAAGAAGAAAAAUGGUUAUAGACAAGCAACCAACAGUAUCUGCCAUAGCUAUUUUAUAGCUGUUUAAACUUGGCUGGGGGUGAAAGAUGCCCUUCAGUGUCCCAAAUGAGAGAAGAGAAUUUUAAUUGGGAGUGGCCAAGGUUCACAAUUUCAGCCUGGAGGAAAGUAAAUUAAAGAGGGAAAUUUGGAUACACAAAGAGAUGCCAGGGAUUAACCUACCCAGAGGAAAGGCCACGUGAGGACACAGCAAGAAGGUGGCCGUCUGCAAGCCGAGAGAGGCCUCAGAAGAAGCCAAACCUGCUGAU